CCGGCAUCUACUCCGACGGGAGGAAAAGCGGACUCUUCAACCGCCUGAUGCUGGGUUCUUAUUUGAGGG
This 69-nucleotide small RNA is filed under the name Thiothrix nivea DSM 5205. Its description in RNAcentral is "int-alpA RNA". It matches the Rfam family "int-alpA RNA". Rfam says of the family: Acidobacteria (1 example), Planctomycetes (1 example), Proteobacteria. Lineage: Bacteria; Pseudomonadati; Pseudomonadota; Gammaproteobacteria; Thiotrichales; Thiotrichaceae. The record is from Rfam by way of RNAcentral.